RNAcentral lists this ribosomal RNA (492 nucleotides) under uncultured bacterium. RNAcentral describes it as "partial 16S ribosomal RNA". It matches the Rfam family "Bacterial small subunit ribosomal RNA", at positions 29 to 507 of the family's 1533-position model. The record is from RNAcentral.
AGUGAACGCUGGCGGUAGGUCUAACACAUGCAAGUCGAACGGCAGCACAGUAAGAGCUUGCUCUUACGGGUGGCGAGUGGCGGACGGGUGAGGAAUACAUCGGAAUCUACUUUUUCGUGGGGGAUAACGUAGGGAAACUUACGCUAAUACCGCAUACGACCUACGGGUGAAAGCAGGGGAUCUUCGGACCUUGCGCGAUUGAAUGAGCCGAUGUCGGAUUAGCUAGUUGGCGGGGUAAAGGCCCACCAAGGCGACGAUCCGUAGCUGGUCUGAGAGGAUGAUCAGCCAAACUGGAACUGAGACACGGUCCAGACUCCUACGGGAGGCAGAAGUGGGGAAUAUUGGAGAAUGGGCGCAAGCCUGAACCAGCCAUACCGCGUGGGUGAAGAAGGCCUUCGGGUUGUAAAGCCCUUUUGUUGGGAAAGAAAAGCAGCAGGUUAAUACCCCGCUGUUCUGACGGUACCCAAAGAAUAAGCACCGGCUAACUUAGUG